This is an RNA transcript of Drosophila elegans, 1418 nucleotides long. It is a transcript of the gene named vesicle-associated membrane protein 2, with no coding region annotated. NCBI's taxonomy places the organism in Eukaryota, Metazoa, Arthropoda, Insecta, Diptera, Drosophilidae. The transcript is spliced from 7 exons. The record is from RefSeq and is a predicted model, not a curated record.
UAACGAUCCAGGCAGCUUUUUCCCCAAAACCAAAUACACAUAACAGUUAGGAAAGCUGCAAGUUUUCGCAGUUGGCCAAAAACGUCCAGUUUCAGCGGUGAGCCAGAAAAUUCCUGCGAAAGGCUGUCGUGGCAAGUGUUACCCGCACACAUACACACAUUAUCCAGACCAGAUCCAGAUCCAGCCAAUCCCCCCGUGGAGUGGAGUGAAAAUUCAUUGACGACUGGGGGCGAAAAAGCUCUGGCGGAAUAGAGAGCACGGCGGCACUGAGAGCACAACCCUCUAGAACAAAAACAACGAAACAGAGUUCAGCUGCACCACCACCCACUAUCGCCCACCACCACCACCACCCGCUACACCACCUCCAUUCCGACCUGCGGCAGUGCAAGACAGUGAAAGAGGCCAAGUGCAUAUAGUGUGACUAGCAGAGUACCUUCAUUCUAAUCAUCGCCAGCCGAAUUUGUUGAGGCCACCACAGCACCACCAACUAACUACAGCCACAACCACACAGCCACCAGAGACAUGGCGGACGCUGCACCAGCUGGCGAUGCACCACCAAACGCCGGAGCUCCGUCCGGAGAGGGCGGCGAUGGCGAGAUUGUGGGCGGACCACACAAUCCGCAGCAGAUUGCGGCACAGAAGCGUCUGCAGCAGACGCAGGCGCAGGUCGAUGAGGUCGUGGACAUCAUGCGCACGAACGUGGAGAAGGUGCUGGAGCGCGACAGUAAGCUGUCGGAGCUGGACGAUCGCGCUGAUGCCUUGCAGCAGGGCGCCUCGCAGUUUGAGCAGCAGGCGGGAAAGCUAAAGAGGAAAUUCUGGCUGCAGAACUUGAAGAUGAUGAUCAUCAUGGGCGUGAUUGGCCUGGUUGUCGUGGGCAUUAUUGCAAAACCGUACAUGUCGGAUGAUAAUGCUGCUGCGCAGCCUCCUGCCUCGCAGCAGCAGGUGGCUCCGGCAUCGGCAACUGCACCAGAUUCAGCACCACAACAACCACAACAACUACUACAACAACAACAACAACAACUACAACCACACCACCAUACACAAAAAUCUGAACCACCGACACUCGAGAAACCAUUGGCCGAGAAAUUGACCGAACUACCACAGAGUCCGUCGGAUGAAGUGGCGACUGGACAAUAAACGAUAUUGAAAAACCUGAAAACCUGAAAAAACAACCAACCGAACAGCAACAACAACAAAAAACUAAUCAGCCAUCGAUUAACCACCAAGCCGCAUCCGUAGAACCAUAGUCAAAAUUAACCAAAAAUGAAAAGAAAACAUUUCACACUUUCUUUGUACCAUUGAAAAAUACGAUCUAAUCUGAUACACUAUAAACUUGGCCUCAUAGGCGGAGAGCAGCCGCCACAGUACCAGUACCCCCCACAGUACAUGCAGCCACCGCCGCCGCCGCCGCAGCAGCC